UGGUGGAGUGAUUUGUCUGGUUAAUUCCGUUAACGAACGAGACCUCGACCUGCUAAAUAGUUAGGCGAACCUUUCGGGGUUCGUACCGACUUCUUAGAGGGACUAUCGGUGUGUAGCCGAUGGAAGUUCGAGGCAAUAACA
Molecule: ribosomal RNA, 141 nt
Filed under: uncultured eukaryote
Lineage: Eukaryota
Description: partial 18S ribosomal RNA
Rfam family: Eukaryotic small subunit ribosomal RNA
Source: RNAcentral